This is a non-coding RNA of Python bivittatus (Burmese python), 1385 nucleotides long. Lineage: Eukaryota; Metazoa; Chordata; Lepidosauria; Squamata; Pythonidae. The record is from RefSeq and is a predicted model, not a curated record.
CUUUAAAUAUAGAACACAGGCACACUUUUUUUUUGCCUCUUGUUGGAUUUAUGUCAGCGUACGAAGUUGCAAAAAUAUAUUCCUUUAGCUUUUUAAAGCCGUUUGCAAAGAAAGUCAUUUGCAUAGUUUAAGACGACGUUGCAGCAAUAUACAUCAUUUCAGCAUGUUAAGAUUCAGGCAUGGUGCUUCCGACAGAUGAACACAAUUCUAUCUCCAUUUAAGUAGAAUUUUUUAAAAAGAAUUUUGCUACUAUAUUAGCAGCACACCAGGAUAUCAGCACAUUGGCAGUGUUCCCUUAUGCCUCUGCCUAACAAUCCCAAGUAUUUAAUGCAUUUAUUGCAUUCACACUUUGGAACCAUUUCCCGUCUCUGCCUCCUUUAUUUCUUUUUCCAUCUUGCUUCGUGUGGACUAAUCCCUGUUCCCCAUCUUCUGGGUUUUCAUCUGCACAAAGAAAGGGACAGUGAGUGUCCUCUAAACUGGUACCUUCUAGCUGGAUCACAUUAUCUUCCCGACAUCCCACAGUCAACACACCAGCUUGGAGACAACUAACCUAGAGAGUCCAAGGGCAAAUUAGCAAAUCAGACACAGCCCGCCUGUAGUUACGAUACCGCUGGGGUUUGAAGAUCACUGCUCUAGCAGAAGACAUUCGGAAAUGCUUUAAAUGAAAGCUUCUGAGUGACCUACCAUGACUUGCAGCUGCCUUCAGGUGAAUUCUAAUGGUCUACUUGACUUGGUGCAGGCAUUAAAAAAAAAUCUACCACUGACUGCUUUGACUUUCAAGAUACGGCCUUUAUAAAAAUAAGGUUUCUCUCAAACUAUAUUCGUGAUUACCAUCGAUUCAUCAUCAUCUCUCUUUCGCGGUGGUGGAUAUAAGAAGCCUAAGCUACAUGUAUUCUUACUUGUAUCUGAAAGGGACAAAUGGAGUACAAUGGAGAGGGAGAACUAUAAUCCUCUUUUGCGGGAAAGAAAGCCAACACGAUGGUCUUGGCAUAUUUUGAAAGCUGAACAUCUUCCUCUUUGGGUCUCAGUUCAGCGAUUAAUUUUUCUAAAGAGGUGCUCAUCCAUUUUCUGAGCUGCCUGAUCAAGCUGUCAAAAAUGGAUCUCAGAAGUAAUUAUUGCCAAGGAUAUUUUUCCUGUCCUUGUCAAAAUAUGUACAACAUAUUUAUGAUUUGUAGUCAAGAACGAGUAACUAUUUUUUCUUUUUAAACAUAAUUCUCUACUACUGGAAGGGUCAGAUAAUGACAGAAUGUUAUCAUGCUCAGUGACGAGACUAAUUUCUUUCAAGAACUUGUUGGGGUGUGGUGAUGGUGUGUGGGGAAGACCUUGGGAGACUGGGUCAAGAGAAGCUGCCAAGGGAAUGGUCAGAUAAGAGGUGGCAUAGCACA